AGGUAUUCCAUUUAUACUAAAGGCAGGGAAAGCAUUGAAGAAAGGCAGAUAUACAUGUUCAAUUUAAGGAUGUUCCUGGUGAUAUAUUCAAAUGUGAAAAGCAAGGGAGAAAUGAGUUUGUCAUACGGCUGCAACCUUCUGAAGCGAUGUACAUGAAGCUAACAAUGAGUUUGCUAAUCUUAUUGUGUCCAUCUGAAAGGCUAUGAUCAAAGCUAUUGUUUCUAUGAAUGCUGUUUUCACGUUUGUAGACUUUCCUUCAUGCUUCAACAUGUGAAGCAGCCCGGUUUGGAGAUGUCAGCAGUGCAAAGUGAACUAGACCUGUCUGUUAUGCGCCUUAGCGUAGGAUCUAGUCACAGGUCUAGACGAGAAAGAAUUCUUGCUUCGACCUAUGGUUACUCAAAAGGCAGAUUCGUCCUUGACUGAACUCCCUCUCAAAAUAACAUUUCUUUUGAUAGAAUAAUUGCUUACUUCUUUAUUUCAUAUUAACAGCCUUUUAUAGACUGUUAAUGACAAAAGAAAGAGUCCUAAUUGACAUAAAGUAGAAUUCCUAACUUAGAGUUUAUGAAGGAAAUAAAAACCUAAUAUAAUAGAUAAAAUAAGUAAAACUAAAGUUCUUAGUAAAACCUGAUAUAUAAUAAAUAAAUAAAACUAAAGACUCCUACUGCAAUUAAAGUGUCCAUAUCACUGUCAUACAAGCAACGCUAUCAAGGUGUUAUGAUCCGAGAGGCUUAUGAACGUCUUGUUCUUGACACGUAUGGUCCUUGCCCCUCCUAAUUCUCAAAAUAUUAUUAUUCGGGAUCCUUUAAUCUUUCUGCUUUCAAAUUAAGUGCUUCAAUUUUCAUUCGAGCUUUAAAGGCUAGUAGGUUUAGGAUUAGAAACCAUGAUAACCAGUUAAAUACACUUGAGAAUUAAGAAUACAGUUUUAAGGUUCCCAUGUAAUGAACAAUGGAUCUAAAUUUGGUUAUACAGGAUCCGAGGCGAUCAGCAGCAUUUUGUUCGCAGAGAUGAAUUAAAGGCGGCAUGGAAGAUAUUCACACCUCUUCUACACCGAAUUGACAAUGGUGAAAUGAAGCUGACUCCAUACCAGCGAGGCAGCCUGGUCCUACAGAAGCAGAUGAGCUUUCGGCUAAAGCCGGUUAUGUUCAAACACAUGGAUACAUUUGGGCCCUUCCACCUCAUAGAAACUUGCUAUAAGCGAGGUAUUGGUUUGUAACACAUCCAAUAAAAACGCAGCCAUGUAACCCUAUCCCAGCCAAGCCUAGGAACAUUUUACCUUGCCUAUUUGAAGUGUGUACCUUACAUAUUUUGUGUAUAGAAUAGGAUUCUAUAUCCCUUUUUGAAUCCAAUUUGGAACAUUUUAUGAA
Molecule: long non-coding RNA, 1364 nt
Organism: Gossypium arboreum
Lineage: Eukaryota; Viridiplantae; Streptophyta; Magnoliopsida; Malvales; Malvaceae
Exons: 4
Source: RefSeq, a predicted model, not a curated record